Molecule: ribosomal RNA, 363 nt
Filed under: Triticum aestivum (bread wheat)
Lineage: Eukaryota; Viridiplantae; Streptophyta; Magnoliopsida; Poales; Poaceae
Description: partial small subunit ribosomal RNA
Source: RNAcentral
AUGCAUGUUCUUCAGAAGCUACAAACAGUAAAUCUGGUUGCUGUCUCCAACAGUAGGCAUCACACAGCCAGUGUAGUGGCAAGACGUUACCAUAGAGCUCAGCAAUGCACUCUCGACCUCGGCGGAGGCCUUUCUCCUGAGCAAGCACAUGGCAUACUCCAUCACUGCAGCAUCACAGGGCAGUCUGAUCCCGCCAUCGCUCGCAAAGCCAAACUCCUCCUGGGACAUCCUCAGGAGCUCACCGAAUACCGUCGUGCUGAGGUACUCCAACGGGACCUCAAAAUGCCCCCCAUCAGCCGUGUACAUGACACAGUGGCCCUUGGCUGGUACAGAACUGUAGCAGUCUUCAUCUUCUUUGGCUGA